Neoarius graeffei (lesser salmon catfish) is the source of this 6582-nucleotide RNA transcript. It is a transcript of the gene named zinc finger protein 862-like, with no coding region annotated. The record is from RefSeq and is a predicted model, not a curated record. The transcript has 8 exons. Lineage: Eukaryota; Metazoa; Chordata; Actinopteri; Siluriformes; Ariidae.
ACUUUAAAGCAUUGCUGCUGGUGUAUAAAUCUCUAAAUGGUACAGGGCCCAAUUACCUCUCUGAUAUGUUGCAGCGGCCUAACCCAAUCAGAUCUACCAGAUUGCAGCAGCAAAAUUUACUGGUAAAACCUGUUGUUAAAACAAAGUGUGGUGAAGCAGCUUUUAGCUACUAUGCAGUACAGCUAUGGAACCAACUCCCAGAGGACAUCAAAAAUGCUCCUGCUGUUGGCAGCUUCACAUCUAGAUUAAAGACCAAGUUGUUCUCAGAUGCUUUCUGCUAACUGGAAUGGUAGGCUACACCAUUCGUUCAUCGGAUUUGUCUACCAUGUCUCCAACACUGGACAAGGAAUUCAAACUGCAGUCUCACAACUACACAAUGAAGGUAAGAAAAAACCUAGCUAACAUUAACAUAGACUAUAAUGGCAGGUGGAUUACAGGAUAGUGUAGGCUUCGAAUGUGUACGGUGAGAGAGAGCGCGGGCAGCGCGAAAGAAAGGUAGCAGGCAACAGACGUGAAAUCAACUGUCAGUCAGAAAGAAAAUAGGUAAACGUGUGGAAAAAUGUGGCGUUUUAUAUCAGGAGUGAAAAGGAGAGCUGAGAAGAGUGUACAGCAUACAGGCCAAGAAGCGAUACUUUAAUGAGAGAUGGCGAAUAGCAGCUGAUGGGGAGCGCAGACAGUGGCUUGUCUAUGAGGAGGGGAUGAUGUUCUGCUCAGUGUGUCGACAAUACGCAUCAGAGACCCAGAGAUUGAACAGCUUUAUUGUUGGAACAAAAAAACUUAAACUAGAGGCCGUGAAAGACCACGAAUCGUCAAAGUGCCAUAUCCACAAUACCAAAAUUGCUAACAGGAAAUCGGCACCAGAAGAGAGCCAAGCCAUGAAAACGCUCAAUAGCCUAAAGGUAGCACAGCUGGAAAAAAUGGCCUUGUUAUUCCGCAAUGCCCACGCCAUAGCAAAGAAAAAAAGACCAUUCAAAGAUUAUGAAUGGCAGUGCACGUAAAGCCUAGGUCACAACCGAACGUACGAUUUUUUGGCCGUGCGAUUUUUGGCGUUUCCCAAAUCACUGCGGUUUUUUUUUGUUCAUGGAGAAAGAUGCACGUUGGCCGUAAGUUUGUCUUGCAACCUGAAAAAAAAUGUAAGUGCCCGUAGAGUUUGUUUGACAUGACAAAGAACCUCUGCGGCCGGUCUGCGGCCAGUCCACGGCUCGAAAAUCAGCACGUCACACGCGCGCCCUCCGUGCGUUUCACGCACGCCCUCCGUGCGUUUCUUGCGUUUUUUGCACGUAGACCGGCCGUAGGAGCAUGCAUGGCCGGUUGUGACCAAGGCUUAAGUGUUUGUUUACUCCAUUGGUCAGUCAGUGUCUUCUCAUUAGCUAACUAAGCGAGUUGCUAGCUAUGCUAUAGCAAAGAAUAUCUUUGGCUAUAGUAAGUUGUUCAAGUUUUCAUUUGGCAUCUGUUUGAGAUUUCAAGCUAGACUGUAAAUGUUCAGGGCACAGCAGUUGUUUAUACAUGACGCUGUCAGAGUUUCCAGCUGCCCUGUAGCCCAGAACACUUCUCAUCUCAUUAUCUCUAGCCACUUUAUCCUGCUCUACAGGGUCGCAGGCAAGCUGGAGCCUAUCCCAGCUGACUAUGGGCAAAAGGCGGGGUACACCCUGGACAAGUCGCCAGGUCAUCACAGGGCUGACAGACACAGACAACCAUUCACACUCACAUUCACACCUACGGUCAAUUUAGAGUCAUCAGUUAACCUAACCUGCAUGUCUUUGGACUGUGGGGGAAACCAGAGCACCCGGAGGAAACCCACGCGGACAUCGGGAGAACAUGCAAACUCCACACAGAAAGGCCCUCGUCGCCGGCCACGGGGCUCUAACCCGGACCUUCUUGCUGUGAGGCGACAGCGCUAACCACUACACCACCAUGCCACCCGCCCAGAACACUUCUAAUGUUAAAACAAGAUCUGAGGGGAAAUUGAUGCCUAACAGCUGAACUAUCCCUAGACUAGGACUAGCUGCUACAAGCAGACAUAGUUCUUCUUCUUCAGUCUUCAGGCCAGCUUCAGUCAUAAACGACUAUGCCAGGGAGGCAACAGUUCAUCAUCAAUCAUCAUCAUCUAUAGGUGACAGGCGAUUCCGCCAUAUUUUGAGUCUCUCCAGGUUAGCCUCUUUAUCCACCCUAAUACCGCACCUGAGACUUGCAUGCCAAGUGUCACAAUCAAUGCAUACAGAUGUCCAGGUAGCAGGGUUUAUUUGGAAGUCUCUCAGAUCUCGUUGCAGAACAUCCUUGUACAACCCCUGUACAAAAUUCCCUGCCUUCUUCUGUGUAAAUUCCUGUUGUUCUAUGUAAAAUACUUUGCCUUUAAGAAAAUGCAGCACCGCCCCUUUAAGGAGCUGCGUUAUAUAAACAGGCACGGACGUUUCUCUUUCAUGCCGUCGCAUUCUAGGAGUCUCAUGUCUCGUUUGAAGGUCUCUCGGUGCUGUUGUGCGUGAAUGUCUCAUCUCAUUAUCUGUAGCCGCUUUAUCCUGUUCUACAGGGUCGCAGGCAACCUGGAGCCUAUCCCAGCUGACUACGGGCGAAAGGCGGGGUACACCCUGGACAAGUCACCAGGUCAUCACAGGGCCGACACAGACACAGACAACCAUUCACACUCACAUUCACACCUACGGUCAAUUUAGAGUCACCAGUUAACCUAACCUGCAUGUCUUUGGACUGUGGGGGAAACCGGAGCACCCGGAGGAAACCCACGCGGACAACAUGCAAACUCCACACAGAAAGGCCCUCGCCGGCCCCGGGGCUCGAACCCAGGACCUUCUUGCUGUGAGGCGACAGCGCUAACCACUACACCACCGUGCCGCCCUGUGCGUGAAUAAACCACAACUUUUGUCACAACAUAACUUCAGAACCUUUGACAUAGAUGUGUAUAUAUGCACAGAGACAAUUAAUAAAUGGCACGAUACAACCUCUAGAACAGCUGCGUUCUUUCUGACCGAAGAAUUAGGCCAGCGGGUGUACGACCAGUACUUUCCUCAUUAUAUCCUACAAAGUUGGUCCUUCGAGCCGGAUUGUACACCAGCUGCGUCAUGGCUGCUUCUAGAGAUGUCCAGGGUGAAGCACAUCAGCCUGAUCCUCGCCCCAGUCGGAGAAGACAACCUCCAGCUUACCUAGAGGACUGUGCUCAGCCACCCUCGCCAGUCAUCCCCCUUCAGGCCACACAUGCGAUCAACAGGGCAUGCAACACAUGCAGGAGUCUCAUGUCUCGUUUGAAGGUCUCUUGGUGCUGUUGUGCGUAAAUAAACCACAACUUUUGUCACAACACAACUUCAGAACCUUUGACACAGAUGAUUAUAUGCACAGAGACAAUUAAUAAAUGGCAAGAUACAACCUCUAGAACAGCUGCGUUCUUUCUGACUGAAGAAUUAGGCCAGCAGGUGUACGACCAGUACUUUCCUCAUUAUAUCCUACAACCCCAAUAACAAAAAAGUUGGGACAAAGUACAAAUUGUAAAUAAAAACGGAAUGCAAUAAUGUACAAAUCUCAAACCGAUAUUGUAUUCACAAUAGAACAUAGACAACAUAUCAAAUGUCGAAAGUGAGACAUUUUGAAAUUUCAUGCCAAAUAUUGGCUCAUUUGAAAUUUCAUGACAGCAACACAUCUCAAAAGUUGGGACAGUGGCAAUAAGAGGCUGGAAAAGUUAAAGGUACAAAAAAGGAACAGCUGGAGGACCAAAUUGCAACUCAUUAGGUCAAUUGGCAAUAGGUCAUUAACAUGACUGGUAUAAAAAGCAUCUUGGAGUGGCAGCAGCUCUCAGAAGUAAAGAUGGGAAGAGGAUCACAAAUCCCCCUAAUUCUGCACCGACAAAUAGUGGAGCAAUAUCAGAAAGGAGUUCGACAGUGUAAAAUUGCAAAGAGUUUGAACAUAUCAUCUACAGUGCAUAAUAUCAAAAGAUUCAGAGAAUCUGGAAGAAUCUCUGUGCGUAAGGGUCAAGGCCGGAAAACCAUACUAGGUGCCCGUGAUCUUCGGGCCCUUAGACGGCACUGCAUCACAUACAGGCAUGCUUCUGUAUUGGAAAUCACAAAAUGGGCUCAGGAAUAUUUCCAGAGAACAUUAUCUGUGAACACAAUUCACCGUGCCAUCCGCCAUUGCCAGCUAAAACUCUAUAGUUCAAAGAAGAAGCCGUAUCUAAACAUGAUCCAGAAGCGCAGACGUCUUCUCUGGGCCAAGGCUCAUUUAAAAUGGACUGUGGCAAAGUGGAAAACUGUUCUGUGGUCAGACGAAUCAAAAUGUGAAGUUCUUUAUGGAAAUCAGGGAUGCCGUGUCCUUCCGACUAAAGAGGAGAAGGACGACCCAAGUUGUUAUCAGCGCUCAGUUCAGAAGCCUGCAUCUCUGAUGGUAUGGGGUUGCAUUUGUUUGUGUGUGUGGGGGGCAUGGGCAGCUUACUCAUCUGGAAAAACACCAUCAAUGCUGAAAGGUAUAUCCAGGUUCGAGAGCAACAUAUGCUCCCAUCCAGAGGACGUCUCUUUCAGGGAAGACCUUGCAUUUUCCAACAUGACAAUGCCAAACCACAUACUGCAUCAAUUACAGCAUCAUGGCUGCGUAGAAGGGUCCGGGUACUGAACUGGCCAGCCUGCAGUCCAGAUUUUUUAUCCAUAGAAAAUAUUUGGCGCAUCAUAAAACGGAAGAUACGACAAAAAAGACCUAAGACAGUUGAGCAACUAGAAUCCUACAUUAGACAAGAAUGGGUUAACAUUCCUAUCCCUAAACUUGAGCAACUUGUCUCCUCAGUCCCCAGACGUUUUACAGACUGUUGUAAAGAGAAGGGGGGGAUGUCUCAAAGUGGUAAACAUGGCCUUGUCCCAACUUUUGAGAUGUAUUGCUGUCAUGAAAUUUAAAAUCACCUAAUUUUUCUCUUUACAUGAUACAUUUUCUGAGUUUAAACAUUUGAUAUGUCAUCUAUGUUCUAUUCUGAAUAAAAUAUGGAAUUUUGAAACUUCCACAUUGCAUUCCAUUUUUAUUUACAAUUUGUACUUUGUCCCAACUUUUUUGGAAUCGGGGUUGUACCUAAGGCGAGGUCGACCUUGAUCCAUCUUUGAGAACACUAUGGAGAAUGCACCGAGGUAGGUGAGAUUUUGGCAUUCUGUGGACAUGCCCAGCCCACUUGAGUCUAAUGGAUUUCAGGAUGCAUGAUGGAGGGCUGGAACCUGUGAUGCGAAAAAGGUCCUCGUUGGUAAUCUUGUCUUUCCAAGUGACACCAAGUAUAGAUCUUAAAGAUCUUGUGUGAAAAGCACUGAGUCGCUGUUCUUGAUGGCGAUAAGUUGUCCAGCACGAAGAGCCGUACAGAAGUAUGCUCAAAACACAAGCUUCGUAUACUCUUUUGGUCUUGAUGGUUAAGUUAUCCAAUGUGGGAGGUGUAAAAGCAACACAACAGAACAAAGCGUGUGGCUACUUAAAAACCUGCCGGGACCCAGUAGCUCUCAUGUUCUGCAACUUCAUGCAUGAUUGCCUGACUCAACUCAGUUGCCUCUCCAAGACAGUUCAAGCAUCAGAUGUCACAGUAGCUGAAGUCCACAACUGCCUGGCCACCACCCAGACUAUACUCACAAAAUAUAAAACUAGGUCUAGCCCCAAGCUGAAAGCUUACGUGGACCAGCAUGAGUGAUGACAACACUGUAGACUGUGUCAUGAGGGCAAAGUCAUUGCUACUGGACAAGCUCUGCCAGAGUCUCCAAACAAGAUUUUCUGAUAUGAGCAUGAGCAUCCUCCAGGCUACUGAGUUGGUUAAUCUAAAGAGUUGGCCCGAUGCAGAGAAUUCUGAAGAAUUUGGUGAAUCUGAAGUGGAGGUAUUGACAGGUCACUUCCAAGAUGUCCUCACAUCCUCCGGGGUUGCAGUUGACCAUAUCCCUGACCAGUGGACUGUGCUGAAGACACACCUCUAUGAGACGGGAGAGUUUUGGCAGAAGACCUGGCCAGAGAUCAACAGAACUUUGAAACACCGGUGUCCUGACAUGCUGAGCUUGAUUGACCUCAUUCUCACUCUACCAGCAUUGACAGCAGACUGCGAAAGAGGGUUCAGUCAGAUGAAGCUGGCCAAGACUGACUGGAGGUCCCGACUUACAACAUCUAGUCUCUGUGACCUACUGGUCGUCCAGCUCUCAAGCCCAUCCAUAGAUGACUUUGACCCCAACCCUGCUGUCCAACUGUGGCAUCAGGCCAGUAUCCGCACUCAACGACCAGACUUCAUGGAGGGGAGGAGGAGCACUCAAGAUUGUUCCUCAUCUGAUUCCUCAGAAUCUGAUUCUGAUGAGGAUUGACUGUAUGUCUAUAUAGUUUGGUUUUAUGGUUUGUUUGUUACUGUCACCUUUAAUUUAGUCAGCAUGCUUGAACAUGGUAUGUUUUGUCAAUGUUCAUAUUUUCCUUGAGGCUUAAAAUAUUUAAAUGCUUAAAAUCUUAACUUUAAUAAACAUGACUUAACAUGGUAGAUCCUUGUGUAUUGUUUUUCAUAGGCAGUUAGAGUGAAACAUUUGCAAGUGGGUCAUUGAGGUUGAUGGAUAAUUGUUCUGUCAUACUGUAGUAAGGACUAGGGGUUGGGGA